Molecule: ribosomal RNA, 1066 nt
Filed under: Gemmamyces piceae
Lineage: Eukaryota; Fungi; Ascomycota; Dothideomycetes; Pleosporales; Melanommataceae
Description: SSU rRNA
Rfam family: Eukaryotic small subunit ribosomal RNA
Source: RNAcentral
CAGAUAGCAUGCCAUGUCUAAGUAUAAGCAAUUAUACCGUGAAACUGCGAAUGGCUCAUUAAAUCAGUUAUCGUUUAUUUGAUAGUACCUUACCACUUGGAUAACCGUGGUAAUUCUAGAGCUAAUACAUGCUAAAAACCCCGACUUUGGAAGGGGUGUGUUUAUUAGAUAAAAAACCAAUGCCCUUCGGGGCUCUUUGGUGAUUCAUGAUAACCUAACGGAUCGCAUGGCCUUGCGCCGGCGACGGUUCAUUCAAAUUUCUGCCCUAUCAACUUUCGAUGGUAAGGUAUUGGCUUACCAUGGUUUCAACGGGUAACGGGGAAUUAGGGUUCGAUUCCGGAGAGGGAGCCUGAGAAACGGCUACCACAUCCAAGGAAGGCAGCAGGCGCGCAAAUUACCCAAUCCCGACACGGGGAGGUAGUGACAAUAAAUACUGAUACAGGGCUCUUUUGGGUCUUGUAAUUGGAAUGAGUACAAUUUAAACCCCUUAACGAGGAACAAUUGGAGGGCAAGUCUGGUGCCAGCAGCCGCGGUAAUUCCAGCUCCAAUAGCGUAUAUUAAAGUUGUUGCAGUUAAAAAGCUCGUAGUUGAAACUUGGGUCUGGCUGGCGGGUCCGCCUCACCGCGUGCACUUGUCCGGCCGGACCUUUCCUUCUGGAGUACCUCAUGCCCUUCACUGGGUGUGUUGGGGAACCAGAACUUUUACUUUGAAAAAAUUAGAGUGUUCAAAGCAGGCCUUUGCUCGAAUACGUUAGCAUGGAAUAAUAGAAUAGGACGUGCGGUCCUAUUUUGUUGGUUUCUAGGAUCGCCGUAAUGAUUAAUAGGGAUAGUCGGGGGCAUCAGUAUUCAAUUGUCAGAGGUGAAAUUCUUGGAUUUAUUGAAGACUAACUACUGCGAAAGCAUUUGCCAAGGAUGUUUUCAUUAAUCAGUGAACGAAAGUUAGGGGAUCGAAGACGAUCAGAUACCGUCGUAGUCUUAACCGUAAACUAUGCCGACUAGGGAUCGGGCGAUGUUUUUAUCUUGACUCGCUCGGCACCUUACGAGAAAUCAAAGUUUUGGUCUGGGGG